CAGCAGCCGCGGUAAUACCCGCAGCCCAAGUGGUGGUCGAUAUUAUUGAGUCUAAAACGUUCGUAGCCUGUUCAAUAAAUCCUUGGGUAAAUCGGUGAGCUUAACUUACCGACUUCCGAGGCGACUGUUGAACUUGGGACCGGGAGAGGCAAGAGGUACUUCUGGGGUAGGGGUAAAAUCCUGUAAUCCUAGAAGGACCACCGGUGGCGAAGGCGUCUUGCUAGAACGGAUCCGACGGUGAGGGACGAAGCCCUGGGGCGCAAACGGGAUUAGAUACCCCGGUAGUCCAGGGUGUAAACGCUGCAGGCGUGGUGUUGGAGACCCUUCGGGGGUGUUCAGUGCCGGAGAGAAGUUGUUAAGCCUGCUACUUGGGGAGUACGUCCGCAAGGAUGAAACUUAAAGGAAUUGGCGGGGGAGCACCGCAACGGGAGGAGCGUGCGGUUUAAUUGGAUUCAACACCGGAAAACUCACCAGGAGCGACGGUUACAUGAAAGUCAGGCUGAUGACCUUACUCGAUUUUCCGAGAGGAGGUGCAUGGCC
This 540-nucleotide ribosomal RNA is filed under the name uncultured archaeon. RNAcentral describes it as "bacterial SSU rRNA". It matches the Rfam family "Archaeal small subunit ribosomal RNA", at positions 459 to 999 of the family's 1478-position model. The record is from RNAcentral.